This is a non-coding RNA of Schizosaccharomyces pombe (fission yeast), 826 nucleotides long. The record is from the annotation of a GenBank genome assembly. Lineage: Eukaryota; Fungi; Ascomycota; Schizosaccharomycetes; Schizosaccharomycetales; Schizosaccharomycetaceae.
AGCAUCACUAAAUCAGUGAAGAAAUGCUUAAUGCCCUUCAUUCGUUAAAUUCUCGACGAAUAUUUCUAAAACAGUGAGAACAUAAAUGAUGUGCCAAUUUAAAAGACCCGCAAAUAGGACAACGAUUAACUGUUUUGUCUUUUAAUGCUUUUCCGGACAGUAAGCGACUUCGUUUCUUAGUAUAAGAAGUUUUUUUCUUUGGAACAGCAAGCAAAAUGGAAUUCCAUAUAUUAGCUAUUGAAGGGGGGGAAAUAAAUAUCCUCAAAGAAAUAUGAGGAAGGGCGCUAGCUUGAAAAACUGAUAACAUUUUUUGGCUAAUUGCCAAAGAAUUUCCUCUUAAAAGAGCCAUUUUCGACCCAAGCGCGAACAGUAGAAUAUUGUUGGGUACAGUAAUGCUGAACAAUAUUUUAAAAGUUUUCUCAAGGUAAGGCGAACUUAGUUACUGCAGAACUUGAUCUUAAUUAUAUAGUUAUAAAACGAUGCAUAUAGCCGUUUUCUAAAACCAGUAGACCCAAUCACAGAUAGAUUUACGAUCUCCGAGAAAAGAGUUUGAAAUAAUUGGAAGUCGUCAAAAGGAAACUUAAAGACCAGUUACUUUGGUUUCGAGACAAUGCUUAAGAAGUAGGCUGCUGCCUAAAUCUAUAGUCUGCUGUUGAGUAGUAAUAACCCAUGUAUAACGAGACUCCUCAAAUUCACUAUUGCUUUGGCUUGACAUUUAAAUGCUAAGUGCGCUCUCUCUUUAUUAAGUCUCGCAGUUUAAUGUUGACAAUUUUCUUAAGCUCAUGAACUACGCUACAAUCAUAGUCCAUUUAAUUAUUUGAAGUUU